RNAcentral lists this ribosomal RNA (451 nucleotides) under uncultured bacterium. RNAcentral's name for it is "partial 16S ribosomal RNA". It matches the Rfam family "Bacterial small subunit ribosomal RNA", at positions 29 to 523 of the family's 1533-position model. The record is from RNAcentral.
AACGAACGCUGGCGGCAGGCCUAACACAUGCAAGUCGAACGGUUGUAGCAAUACAGCAGUGGCGCACGGGUGAGUAACACGUGGGAACGUGCCUUUCAGUCUGGAAUAACAGCGGGAAACUGCUGCUAAUACCGGAUAUUCUCUACGGAGGAAAGAUGUAUCGCUGAAAGAUCGGCCCGCGUUAGAUUAGGUAGUUGGUAGGGUAAUGGACUACCAAGCCUACGAUCUAUAGCUGGUCUGAGAGGAUGAUCAGCCACACUGGAACUGAGACACGGUCCAGACUCCUACGGGAGGCAGCAGUGGGGAAUAUUGGACAAUGGGGGAAACCCUGAUCCAGCCAUGCCGCGUGAGUGACGAAGGCCUUAUGGUUGUAAAGCUCUUUUAUCAGGGACGAUGAUGACGGUACCUGAAGAAUAAGACACGGCUAACUUCGUGCCAGCCGCCGCCGUAA